Ananas comosus (pineapple) is the source of this 1352-nucleotide RNA transcript. It is a transcript of the gene named mitochondrial import inner membrane translocase subunit TIM17-1-like, with no coding region annotated. Lineage: Eukaryota; Viridiplantae; Streptophyta; Magnoliopsida; Poales; Bromeliaceae. The transcript is spliced from 3 exons. The record is from RefSeq and is a predicted model, not a curated record.
UGCAAUUUAUCCAUCGACUUUUUUAUGGCCACGAAGCCUCCAAAACCCUGCAGCUCGAGUGGCCCAUCUAGGGUUCUACUCCUCCCUCCUCCUCCUCCCCAAAACCCUAACCCCGCGUCCUCUUCCUCUCCGUCGUCCACAUGGGCACCCCCGAGACCUCGCGCGAGCCGUGCCCCGACCGGAUCCUCGACGACGUGGGGGGCGCGUUCGCCAUGGGCGCAGUGGGGGGCUCCGCGUACCACUUCAUCCGCGGCCUCUACAACUCCCCGAACGGCGAGCGCCUCGCCGGGGGCGCCCAGGCCGUGCGCAUGAACGCCCCGCGCGUCGGCGGGAGCUUCGCCGUGUGGGGCGGCCUCUUCUCCGCCUUCGACUGCUCCAUGGUCUACCUCCGCCAGAAGGAGGACCCCUGGAACUCCAUCAUCGCCGGCGCCGCCACCGGGGGCUUUCUCCAGAUGCGCCAGGGCCCUGGCUCCGCCGCCCGUUCCGCGCUCUUCGGCGGCGUGCUCCUCGCCCUCAUCGAGGGCGCCGGGAUCAUGCUCAACCGCGUCCUCUCCGCGCCGCAGAACCUACCCCCCAUGGAGGACCCAUCCGCCAUCGGCCUCCCUCCGACGAUCGCGAGGCCCGGUGUUCCCUUGCCGACAGCGGAGGAGGAAUCCGGCGGGGGGUCGUGGCUCGGGGGCCUCUUCGGGGGCGGGGGCAAGAAGAAGACGGACGACGGGAAGGGCGGGGGCGGAGGAGGAGGAGGGGGGGGCAAACCGGAGGUUUUGGAGAGCUUCGAUACCCCGAGCACGCCUAUUCCGAACUUCGAGUACAAAUGAGGGAUUUUUGAAAGGGGUGAUGUGCCAGAAGCACGGAAGUCGAUAUGUUCAAUCUAGUGAACUGAGGCGCCAAGGCCGUAAGAAGCAAUGGAAACUGCCAAAAAAUAUGGUUUUUUGGAGCAAACAAUGUUUCAGCUUGACCAUCUACAUGCUAUACUUCUGCUGGGCACUUUUCCGAAUUCCAUUUGAUUAACCUAAUGGAGGGAUAAUGUGGCAACUGAUUCAAUUGCAACAUCAUCCGUUGGAGGUGACGAAGCAAUGGUGUGUCUUCAAUUGCCACAAUAAUUCUUGAAUAUAACGUGAUGGUCGAAUUAUAAUUGCAAUGAGGUGAUAUGGUAGUUGAAUUAACUGUCAUAUUAUCACCUGUCAUAUUAUCACCAUGCCAUCUCUUUGAUCUCUUGGGGCGACGGAGUAAUGUGGCAGCAAUUAAGGAAAUUAUGCAGAGUUUGAUGGUGUAAAUGAUGGAAACUGAGAUUGUUACUCUGGUGACUUAAUGGCAACAUAGUAGGUAUAAUAUAAUAGCCAUCAUGCUAA